This 446-nucleotide ribosomal RNA is filed under the name Staphylococcus aureus. RNAcentral's name for it is "partial 23S ribosomal RNA". It matches the Rfam family "Bacterial large subunit ribosomal RNA", at positions 212 to 656 of the family's 2925-position model. Lineage: Bacteria; Bacillati; Bacillota; Bacilli; Caryophanales; Staphylococcaceae. The record is from RNAcentral.
GGAGGAAGAGAAAGAAAAUUCGAUUCCCUUAGUAGCGGCGAGCGAAACGGGAAGAGCCCAAACCAACAAGCUUGCUUGUUGGGGUUGUAGGACACUCUAUACGGAGUUACAAAGGACGACAUUAGACGAAUCAUCUGGAAAGAUGAAUCAAAGAAGGUAAUAAUCCUGUAGUCGAAAAUGUUGUCUCUCUUGAGUGGAUCCUGAGUACGACGGAGCACGUGAAAUUCCGUCGGAAUCUGGGAGGACCAUCUCCUAAGGCUAAAUACUCUCUAGUGACCGAUAGUGAACCAGUACCGUGAGGGAAAGGUGAAAAGCACCCCGGAAGGGGAGUGAAAUAGAACCUGAAACCGUGUGCUUACAAGUAGUCAGAGCCCGUUAAUGGGUGAUGGCGUGCCUUUUGUAGAAUGAACCGGCGAGUUACGAUUUGAUGCAAGGUUAAGCAGUAA